Molecule: transfer RNA, 94 nt
Filed under: Syntrophomonadaceae bacterium
Lineage: Bacteria; Bacillati; Bacillota; Clostridia; Eubacteriales; Syntrophomonadaceae
Description: tRNA-Ser
Rfam family: tRNA
About the family: Transfer RNA (tRNA) molecules are approximately 80 nucleotides in length. Their secondary structure includes four short double-helical elements and three loops (D, anti-codon, and T loops).
Source: RNAcentral
GGAGAGAUGGCCGAGUUGGUCGAAGGCGCUCGACUCGAAAUCGAGUAGGCGGCUGAACCCCGCCUCGUGAGUUCGAAUCUCACUCUCUCCGCCA